GCCUGGGUGGCUCAGUGGGUUAAGCAUCUGACUUCGGCUCAGGUCAUGAUCUCACGGUAUGUGGGUUCGAGCCCCACUCUGGGCU
RNAcentral lists this transfer RNA (85 nucleotides) under Felis catus (domestic cat). It matches the Rfam family "tRNA". Rfam says of the family: Transfer RNA (tRNA) molecules are approximately 80 nucleotides in length. Their secondary structure includes four short double-helical elements and three loops (D, anti-codon, and T loops). Lineage: Eukaryota; Metazoa; Chordata; Mammalia; Carnivora; Felidae. The record is from Rfam by way of RNAcentral.